RNAcentral lists this unclassified non-coding RNA (2563 nucleotides) under Hevea brasiliensis (rubber tree). Lineage: Eukaryota; Viridiplantae; Streptophyta; Magnoliopsida; Malpighiales; Euphorbiaceae. The record is from RNAcentral.
UUUUUUUUUUUUUUUUUUUUUACAAUUUUUCAAUCACAAUUUUUUUAUACAUCAUUUUUUUUAUCUAAAUAUGCAAAACUACUAAUAAAAUGAUUGAAAUAUAACUAUAAUUGCUGGAACAAUCAGUUCAACACAACAAUUGCUUAAAAUUGUAGAAUGUGGUUCUGAGAGACAUUUUAUCAAAUACCAAUAUGUAAUCAGUUGUAUUGCUUCGAAAACUUUAACAAUAAUAUCAAAACCUAGCAAUGGAAAUCAAUAAAUCAGAUUGUCAAAGGACACGCACAAACUAACAAAUUAUUAGAUGAAACUGAAGCAAAAACGUGCAAAGAAACUCAAAAGACAAAUGAAUUUGGUAGGCAGAGAAAGAACGACAAAGAACAACCAACACAAGGAAAUCCAAGAGACAAAAACUUCACACAAUAGAAAUUAAUAUCCAAAAACAAAUUAAAUUAAAUUAACAAUCAAAGAAAUAAGGAUAACCAUCCUGAUUAGAGACCCAAAGCUCUGAUAUCAAAAUAAUGAGAACCACAAUGUACUUGCCAAGGAACCCCUAAAAUAUUUAAUCCAAUCCCUAGAACCCUCACAACCAGAUUCUUCUACUUGAAAUCACUUAACCCAAAACCAACCUUGCAGUAGAGAACCAAGCGAAUAGUUCAAAUAGGAAAAGCAAAUGAUUCAAGACCCAUUAUCAACCUAUGGUAGAGAACCAAGAAUAUCAAAUAAUUAAUUCUUGAAAGCCAAUCAGACUUGUCAAGAAGAGAAACUUUAUGAAGAACAAUAAAGGAGAAAACUCUCUCAAUAAUUAAUUGAUAAUCAAAAGCUAUCAAAAAUACAUGAAACAUAAGUAUUUAUAGGUGGCAGCUAAUACAACUUAUAAAACCCUAAAAAAAAUCAAUUAAUUACAAAGAAACCAAGCAAAAUCAUCCAAAAAAGUGAGCCACAAAGUCUACACGCCCAGGGCAUGUGCCUCCCUUCAUUUCACGCCCUGGGUGUGAAGGCAACGGCAAGAAAAUUGCAAUUCUUCCUUUAGAACUUGACUCACGCCCAGGGUGUGCGCCUUUUCAUUUUCACGCCCUGGCCGUGAGAUCCUCAACCAUUAGAAAUUUCAAGUGCUCUUUUUUGUGCAAUACACACCCAAGCCAUAUUGACCCUCCCAUUUCAUGCCCAGGCUGUGAAAGCUAUGGCUCUUUGAUGUUUUUAGAGAAAUUUGGCAAUUUUGACACUUAAAAGGUAAUUAUGGUUAGCCUUAUAUAUGGUGAUCUCCAUUCAUGCACAAUUGAACCAAUAUAAGCCAUUUGACUUCUUUACGCAUGCCAAGUUUGUCAAUCUCCACUUGAAUCAUUCCUUGAAGAACUUCCUUGAAACUUGGUGCUCUCAUGAUCACAUCAUCCAUACCUGCUAGGAAUUUUUGUGCACCGCAAUAGUGGCACCAUUUGUGGAAAAUGAUACAAAAAAGUUGUCUCUCCCUCUCUAUGUCUGUUAGAAAAACUAGAUUCGACCACCUUUCUAGUUUUUAUUUGAUUUUAAAAUGGGACAUGGGAUCAAAUUCAAGUGGAUGGCUUAUGGUUUAUUACAACCUAGUCAAUACAAUAUGUCAUUGAUGCUCAAGAAUUCUUUGAAAAUACCUUAAGAUUAGUCAGUUUAUUUUUCUUCUGCCUUAUUUUGUCCAAAUAACAAUUGAAUAAAAUGUUUUGGCUAAAUGUUUUUUGUGUUAUUUUAUCUGAGUUCCAAGCCCAUAUAAGAUGUUGAUUUUAAAUAUCAAAACUUGAAUACAUUAGGAAAUUAAUUUCUUUUACACUCAUUUAGAAUUGGACUUUUUGAACCCAACAUAGAGUGCCUUGGUUUAGUCCUGCAUUAGUUGUCUGGGAAAAAACUAGAGCAGCAUGUCGUCGUUGCGUCUUUUGCCAACUUGAGGAAGAAGAAGCUCACGAAUAGACAACCUUGUUUUUGGCUUAAUUUUGUUUUUGCCAAAGAGUAAAGUAUCCUUAGUUUUGCUUUAUUAUUUCAACAUUGCCACCAUUGAUUUGCUAGUUAUAUCUUAUUUUUACUAAAUAUUUCAAAGUUUUCACCAUCUAGUUGGAUGUGAUCUUGCUUGAAUUUACACCAACCGCAUGAGCUAAAUGAAAUAAUGACAAAAAUUAUAAAUGGUAGUCUUGAAAACUUGUGAAAAUUACAAACUUACCAUGGUAAGAAUGAGAUUUGGAUUUUCUUAUAAGUAUGCCACCCUUUAUUUGUUGUAAGGGAGUCACUGAUUUUAUUUAAAAUUACAAAAAGACCAUAUCUAUGUUGUAUUGAUUUUGUUUAAAUUCACCACCAUUUCUUGACAAGUGAGAUGCCUUAUGUUAUAGUCAUAUUUUCAAAGUUGCCAUUAUUCUUUGCUAUAAAGAAAAAUCUUGACUUAUGUGCAUAGUUACAAGGAUAGCCUCUGGCCAUUGAAUGCUCAAGUUAGUUAAAUUUGCAACUUUGCUAUUGAAUAUUUGUUCAAUUAAAUUCUCAUCAAGUUGCCAUUGUUAUUAUUGCCUAUAAUUUUAUUGGAGAAUCACAGUGUGGCAUGGAGAUAUUG